Molecule: ribosomal RNA, 1352 nt
Filed under: uncultured bacterium
Lineage: Bacteria
Description: 16S ribosomal RNA
Rfam family: Bacterial small subunit ribosomal RNA
Source: RNAcentral
GAUGAACGCUGGCGGCGUGGAUAAGGCAUGCGAGUCGAACGAGCCUUGUGCUUUGCACAGGGCGAGUGGCGAACGGGUUAGUAACACGUAGAUUACCAACCCCAUUCACGGGCAUAACUCCGAGAAAUCGGGGCUAAUUCCCGAUAGUAUCGCUUUUCUGGCGAUUAAAGGCACAAGCAAUUGAGCCGGAAUGGGAUGGGUCUGCGGCCUAUCAGCUAGUUGGUAAGGUGAUGGCUUACCAAGGCGAUGACGGGUAGGCGGAGUGAGAGCUUGACCGCCAACACUGGCACUGCGAUACGGGCCAGACUCCUACGGGAGGCAGCAGUCGAGAAUAUUGGACAAUGGGGGAAACCCUGAUCCAGCGACGCCGCGUGCUUGAAGAAGCCCUUCGGGGUGUAAAGAGCUUUUCUCCAAGAAUAAGCUUUCGGCUGAAGGUAUUGGAGGAAUAAAGGGAUGCUAAUCACGUGCCAGCAGCCGCGGUAAUACGUGAUCCCUAAGCGUUAUCCGGAUUUAUUGGGCGUAAGGCGUCUGUAGGUGGUUUGGAAAGUCUUUGGUUAAAGACCCAGGGCUUAACCUUGGGAAUGCCAGAGAUACUUUCAGACUUGAGGGUGUUAGAGGGGAGCGGAACGGUCGGUGUAGGGGUGAAAUCCGUUGAUAUCGACUGGAACACCGAAUGCGAAGGCAGCUCCCUGGGGCAACCCUGACACUGAGAGACGAAAGCGUGGGGAGCAAAAAGGAUUAGAUACCCUUGUAGUCCACGCUGUAAACGAUGGAUACUAGCUAUUUGAAGUGUCGACCCUUCAAGUGGCGAAGCUAACGCAUUAAGUAUCCCGCCUGGGAAGUACGACGGCAACGUUAAAACUCAAAAGAAUAGACGGGGCUUCACACAAGCGGUGGGCCAUGUGGCUUAAUUCGACAACAAACGAAGAACCUUACCAGGGCUUGACAGACUAGUGAAAAUCCCGAGAAACCGGGACUGCCCACAAGGACACUAGUUCAGGUGCUACAUGGUUGUCGUCAGCAUGUGUUUUGAAAUGCACGCUUAAAUGCGGUAACAUGCGCAACCCCUACUCUAUGUUUUAUUUGUCAUAGAGGACUGCCUGGGAUGACCAGGAGGAAGGUGGGGAUGACACCAAAUCAGCAUGGCCCUUUGAUGUCCUGGGCCGCACACAUGGUACAAUGGGGCUGACAACGAGUUGCAAAGGGGUAACCCGGAGCUAAUCUCUUAAACGGUCCCCCAGUUCGGAUUGAGAUCUGAAACUCGACCUCAUGAAGUUGGAAUCGCUAGUAAUCGCCAAUCAGCUAUGUGGCGAUGAAUACGUCCCUGAAGCUUGUACUCACCGCCCGUCACA